GAUGAACGCUGGCGGCGUGCUUAACACAUGCAAGUCGAACGGAAAGGCUCCUGCUUGCAGGGGUACUCGAGUGGCGAACGGGUGAGUAACACGUGGGUGAUCUGCCCUGCACUUCGGGAUAAGCCUGGGAAACUGGGUCUAAUACCGGAUAGGACGAUGGUUUGGAUGCCAUUGUGGAAAGUUUUUCGGUGUGGGAUGAGCUCGCGGCCUAUCAGCUUGUUGGUGGGGUAAUGGCCUACCAAGGCGUCGACGGGUAGCCGGCCUGAGAGGUUGUACGGCCACAUUGGGACUGAGAUACGGCCCAGACUCCUACGGGAGGCAGCAGUGGGGAAUAUUGCACAAUGGGCGCAAGCCUGAUGCAGCGACGCCGCGUGGGGGAUGACGGCCUUCGGGUUGUAAACUCCUUUCGCUAGGGACGAAGCGCAAGUGACGGUACCUGGAGAAGAAGCACCGGCUAACUACGUG
This 465-nucleotide ribosomal RNA is filed under the name uncultured bacterium. RNAcentral's name for it is "partial 16S ribosomal RNA". It matches the Rfam family "Bacterial small subunit ribosomal RNA", at positions 28 to 507 of the family's 1533-position model. The record is from RNAcentral.